Molecule: long non-coding RNA, 839 nt
Filed under: Homo sapiens (human)
Lineage: Eukaryota; Metazoa; Chordata; Mammalia; Primates; Hominidae
Description: non-protein coding lnc-EFCAB7-3:1
Source: RNAcentral
CAAGACCUUGUGGCAAGAAGGGGCUCAGCAUGACUGACAAAUAGCAAGAAGGAUGUCAGCUGUGGCACUGGCUACCUUGACACAUCUUCAUCUGAAGAAAAAAUACAAAGAAGGCCUGCCAUGAUGACAAUUUACUUCAUGAAGAGAACGGGUUCUGAAACGGUCAUUCUUUUCCAUUUAAACAAUGUUACCAUCUCCCAAAGAACAGCUUUGGGGUAGGAAAGAACAGUAUUUCAUUUCAAGCUGGACUACUCAUCUACCAAAAAACCAUUCUGACCAAAGAAACAGAUGCAGAAUUACAGUCACAGCUGCAUUCUGCACAGAACAAGUUGGAUAAUGGGUCAUCCAGGCUGGAAUGCAAGUGACACAAUCACAGCUCACUGCAGCCUUGACUUCCUCGGCUCAAGUGAUCCUCCUGCCUCAGCCUCCCAAGUAGCUGGGACUACAGGCACGUAACGUCACACCUUGUUAAUUUUCAUAUUUUUUCGUAGAGACAGCGUUUUGCCAUAUUGCCCAGGCUAAUCUUGAACUACUGGGCUCAAGCAAUCUGCCUGUCUCAGCCUCCCAAAGUGAUGGGAUUACCGGCAUGAGCCACUGGGCCUGGCCCCACUUUUUCCUUUUUAACACUAUGGGUGUUUUUCUGUGUGUGCUUUUUUGAAUAGAAGUGGUGAGAGGGCACGUUCUUGCCUUUUUCCUAAUCUUAAAAAAGUUUUCGAUACUAAAUAUAUUAUCUAUAGGUUUUUCAAAGAAAUGAGAAGUUGCCUCCUAUUCCUAGUUUGCUGAGGGUUUUAUUUUCUCACGAAUGGGUAUGUUCUCUGUACAAUUAACCAAUGAAAUCG